Molecule: ribosomal RNA, 547 nt
Filed under: uncultured bacterium
Lineage: Bacteria
Description: bacterial SSU rRNA
Rfam family: Bacterial small subunit ribosomal RNA
Source: RNAcentral
ACGGGUGAGUAACGCGUGGGAACGUGCCCUUCGGUUCGGAAUAACUCAGGGAAACUUGAGCUAAUACCGGAUACGCCCUUAUGGGGAAAGGCUUGACUGCCGAAGGAUCGGCCCGCGUCUGAUUAGCUUGUUGGUGAGGUUACGGCUCACCAAGGCGACGACCAGUAGCUGGUCUGAGAGGAUGAUCAGCCACACUGGGACUGAGACACGGCCCAGACUCCUACGGGAGGCAGGAGUGGGGAAUAUUGGACAAUGGGGGCAACCCUGAUCCAGCCAUGCCGCGUGAGUGAUGACGGCCUUAGGGUUGUAAAGCUCUUUUCUCCGGGACGAUAAUGACGGUACCGGAGGAAUAAGCCCCGGCUAACUUCGUGCCAGCAGCCGCGGUAAUACGAAGGGGGCUAGCGUUGCUCGGAAUCACUGGGCGUAAAGGGCGCGUGGGCGGCUGAUUUAGUCGAGGGUGAAAGCCCGUGGCUCAACCACGGAAUGGCCUUCGAUACUGGUUGGCUUGAGACCGGAAGAGGACAGCGGAACUGCGAGUGUAGAGGUG